RNAcentral lists this ribosomal RNA (497 nucleotides) under uncultured bacterium. Its description in RNAcentral is "partial 16S ribosomal RNA". It matches the Rfam family "Bacterial small subunit ribosomal RNA", at positions 28 to 507 of the family's 1533-position model. The record is from RNAcentral.
GACGAACGCUGGCGGCGUGCCUAAUACAUGCAAGUUGAGCGCUGAAGGUUGGUACUUGUACCAACUGGAUGAGCAGCGAACGGGUGAGUAACGCGUGGGGAAUCUGCCUUUGAGCGGGGGACAACAUUUGGAAACGAAUGCUAAUACCGCAUAAAAACUUUAAACACAAGUUUUAAGUUUGAAAGAUGCAAUUGCAUCACUCAAAGAUGAUCCCGCGUUGUAUUAGUUAGUUGGUGAGGUAAAGGCUCACCAAGGCGAUGAUACAUAGCCGACCUGAGAGGGUGAUCGGCCACAAUGGGACUGAGACACGGCCCAAACUCCCACGGGAGGCAGCAGGAGGGGAUCUUCGGCAAUAGACGAAAGUCUGACCGAGCAACGCCGCGUGAGUGAAGAAGGGUUUCGGAUCGUAAAACUCUGUUGGUAGAGAAGAACGUUGGUGAGGGUAGAAAGCUCAUCAAGUGACGGUAACUACCCAGAAAGGGACGGCUAACUACGUG